This 253-nucleotide ribosomal RNA is filed under the name uncultured bacterium. RNAcentral's name for it is "partial 16S ribosomal RNA". It matches the Rfam family "Bacterial small subunit ribosomal RNA", at positions 524 to 776 of the family's 1533-position model. The record is from RNAcentral.
UACGUAGGGGGCUAGCGUUGUCCGGAAUCAUUGGGCGUAAAGGGCUCGUAGGCGGCCAACUAAGUCGGAUGUGAAAUCCCCAGGCUCAACCUGGGAACUGCAUCCGAUACUGGAUGGCUUGAAUUCGGGAGAGGGAUGCAGAAUUCCAGGUGUAGCGGUGAAAUGCGUAGAUAUCUGGAGGAAUACCGGUGGCGAAGGCGGCAUCCUGGACCGACAUUGACGCUGAUGAGCGAAAGCUAGGGGAGCAAACGGG